RNAcentral lists this ribosomal RNA (403 nucleotides) under uncultured bacterium. Its description in RNAcentral is "bacterial SSU rRNA". It matches the Rfam family "Bacterial small subunit ribosomal RNA", at positions 356 to 776 of the family's 1533-position model. The record is from RNAcentral.
GGGGAAUAUUGCACAAUGGGGGAAACCCUGAUGCAGCGACGCCGCGUGAAGGACGAAGUAUUUCGGUAUGUAAACUUCUAUCAGCAGGGAAGAAAAUGACGGUACCUGACCAAGAAGCCCCGGCUACCUACGUGCCAGCAGCCGCGGUAAUACGUAGGGGGCAAGCGUUAUCCGGAUUUACUGGGUGUAAAGGGAGCGUAGACGGUGAUGCAAGUCAGAAGUGAAAGCCCGGGGCUCAACGCCGGGACUGCUUUUGAAACUGUGUAACUGGAGUGCAGGAGAGGUAAGCGGAAUUCCUAGUGUAGCGGUGAAAUGCGUAGAUAUUAGGAGGAACACCAGUGGCGAAGGCGGCUUACUGGACUGUAACUGACGUUGAGGCUCGAAAGCGUGGGGAGCAAACAGG